UACGUAGGGUGCGAGCGUUGUCCGGAAUUACUGGGCGUAAAGGGCGCGUAGGCGGCCCGCUAAGUCGAACGUGAAAUCCCCGGGCUCAACCCGGGAACUGCGUCCGAUACUGGCAGGCUUGAAUCCGGGAGAGGGAUGUGGAAUUCCUGGUGUAGCGGUGAAAUGCGUAGAUAUCAGGAGGAACACCGGUGGCGAAGGCGGCUUUCUGGACAGAUACCGACGCUGAGGCACGAAAGCUAGGGGAGCAAACAGG
This 253-nucleotide ribosomal RNA is filed under the name uncultured bacterium. RNAcentral describes it as "partial 16S ribosomal RNA". It matches the Rfam family "Bacterial small subunit ribosomal RNA", at positions 524 to 776 of the family's 1533-position model. The record is from RNAcentral.